This 127-nucleotide small RNA is filed under the name Marmota monax (woodchuck). The record is from RNAcentral. Lineage: Eukaryota; Metazoa; Chordata; Mammalia; Rodentia; Sciuridae.
GUCGGGUACGGUGGUGCACACUUGUAAUCCCAGCAGCUUGGGAGGCUGAGGCAGGAGGAUUGCAAGUUCAAAGCCAGCGUCAGCAACUUAGCAAGGACCUAAGUAAUUCAGUGAGACCCUGUCUCUA